AGCCCCUUGCUCUACAUAAGGGGUCACGCCUGCCCGGUGGACACCCUAAACGGCCGCGGUAUCUUGACCGUGCAAAGGUAGCAUAAUCACUUGUCCUUUAAAUGGGGACUCGUAUGAAUGGCAAAACCUCUUUUGACUGUCUUUCCCGCCCUCCUUAUAAACUCACAUCCAUGUGAAGAGUCAUGGAUGUUAAAGAAAGACGAGAAGACCCUGUCGAGCUUUAGUCCAAAGGAGAAUAAAAGAGUCAACUUUUAAAGCUCGUUUUCUACAUCUUCUAAAGACUUUGGUUGGGGCAACCAUGGAGAAAAACAACCCUCCAGAAACAGCAGAAGAAAACCAAUUCUCUGUAUAAAAAUAGUGAACCAGGAACUGGAAAACGGAAAAAGUUACCGCAGGGAUAACAGCGUUAUCUUCUCUAAGAGUCCUUAUUGACGAGAAGGUUUGCGACCUCGAUGUUGGAUUAGGGCCCCCACAGGGUGCAGAAGCUCUAAAAGGUUGGACUGUUCGUCCAUUAAAGCCCUACA
This 524-nucleotide ribosomal RNA is filed under the name Holothuria excellens. RNAcentral's name for it is "partial 16S ribosomal RNA". It matches the Rfam family "Bacterial large subunit ribosomal RNA", at positions 1816 to 2600 of the family's 2925-position model. Lineage: Eukaryota; Metazoa; Echinodermata; Holothuroidea; Aspidochirotida; Holothuriidae. The record is from RNAcentral.